AGUAGUUUGACUCCGUGGCUCAGGACGAACGCUGGCGGCGUGCUUCAUACAUGCAAGUCGAACGAUAAGGUUCCUUCGGGAAUACAUAAGUGGCGGACGGGUGAGUAAUAUGUAGAGAAUCUACCUUCAAGAGGGGGACAACAGAGGGAAACUCCUGCUAAUACCCCAUAUGCGCGUAGCUGAGAUGCUAUUCGUGAAAACUCCGGUGCUUGAAGAUGAGUCUGCAUCUGAUUAGCUAGUUGGGGGUGUAAUGGACCACCAAGGCGACGAUCAGUAGCUGGUUUGAGAGGAUGAUCAGCCACAAUGGGACUGAGACACGGCCCAUACUCC
This 330-nucleotide ribosomal RNA is filed under the name uncultured cyanobacterium. RNAcentral's name for it is "bacterial SSU rRNA". It matches the Rfam family "Bacterial small subunit ribosomal RNA", at positions 1 to 339 of the family's 1533-position model. The record is from RNAcentral. Lineage: Bacteria; Bacillati; Cyanobacteriota.